UACGUAGGGUGCGAGCGUUAAUCGGAAUUACUGGGCGUAAAGCGUGCGCAGGCGGUUCGUUGUGUCGGCGGUGAAAGCCCCGGGCUCAACCUGGGAAUGGCCGUUGAAACUGGCGAACUGGAGUGUGGCAGAGGGGGGUGGAAUUCCGCGUGUAGCAGUGAAAUGCGUAGAGAUGCGGAGGAACACCGAUGGCGAAGGCAGCUCCCUGGGCUAACACUGACGCUCAGGCACGAAAGCGUGGGGAGCAAACAGG
This 253-nucleotide ribosomal RNA is filed under the name uncultured bacterium. RNAcentral's name for it is "partial 16S ribosomal RNA". It matches the Rfam family "Bacterial small subunit ribosomal RNA", at positions 524 to 776 of the family's 1533-position model. The record is from RNAcentral.